CCAUUAGGCAGCAGCUGGGGGAAGAAUCAACACACCAGGGAGCGGAGCGGUGCGGACCGAGCACCGAGGCGGCUGCUGCCUCCGCCGCCGCCUCCUCCGCCGCCGCUGCCGGGGCUCCAGCUUCGAGCCCGCGCCCCCCCCCAGUGCCCGCGAGCCCCCGGGCCGCGCCGCGAGCGCCUCCGGAGGGGGGGGAAGGGCCCGGUCCUCCUUCUCCCCCUCCUCCCGCCCCACCGACCCCCGCCGCGCCCCGCCGGCCUCCCACCACGGCCUCUCUCGGCGAGGAAACUCUGGCCUCCGCUUCCUCCUCCUCCGACUCGGACGCCGGCGGAGCCUCCCCGCCCCCGCGGAAGAAGCCCCGAGCCUCGGCGGCGGAGGGAGCAGGAGAGCCCGGGGCCUCGGCCGGCCGAGCAGGCCUCCCCCCCCCGCCCUCGCCCUCGCCGGCCGCCGCCGCCUCCUCCGUGGUGGUGGUGGUGGGACUGCCUCCGGCCGCCCCCGCCGCCCCCCAGCGGAGCAGCGGCCACAGCCUGGUCAGCGGCGGCAGCAUGCAGGCCAACGGGGCGGGAGGAGGCGGCGGCGGCGGCGGCGGGGGCGGCGGGGGCCAGGGCCAGACCCCGGAGCUCGCCUGCCUGUCGGCGCAGAACGGGGAGUCGUCCCCCUCGGCGGCGUCCGCGGGGGACCUGGCCCACGCCAACGGGCUCCUGCCUGCCGCCCCCUCCGCCGCUGGCAACAAUAGCAACAGCCUGAGUGUCAAUAACGGGGUUCCCGGCGGGGCCGCCGCGGCCUCCGCCACCGCCGCCGCCGCCCUGGCCACCCCCGAGCUGGGCAGCAGCCUCAAGAAGAAGAAGCGGCUCUCGCAGUCCGAUGAGGAUGUCAUUAGGCUCAUAGGACAGCACCUCAAUGGCCUGGGGCUCAACCAGACUGUUGACCUCCUCAUGCAAGAGUCAGGAUGUCGUUUAGAACAUCCUUCUGCUACCAAAUUCCGAAAUCAUGUCAUGGAAGGAGACUGGGAUAAGGCAGAAAAUGACCUGAAUGAACUAAAGCCUUUAGUGCAUUCUCCUCAUGCUAUUGUGGUAAGAGGCGCACUUGAAAUCUCUCAAACGUUGUUGGGAAUAAUUGUGAGGAUGAAGUUUUUGCUGCUGCAGCAGAAGUACCUGGAAUACCUGGAGGAUGGCAAGGUCCUGGAGGCACUUCAGGUUCUCCGCUGUGAACUGACGCCACUGAAAUACAAUACAGAGCGCAUUCAUGUUCUUAGUGGGUAUCUAAUGUGUAGCCAUGCGGAAGACCUACGGGCAAAAGCUGAAUGGGAAGGCAAGGGAACAGCUUCCCGCUCCAAACUACUGGACAAGCUUCAGACCUAUUUACCACCAUCAGUGAUGCUUCCCCCACGGCGUUUACAGACUCUCCUGCGGCAGGCGGUGGAGCUGCAGAGGGACCGGUGCCUCUACCACAACACCAAACUUGACAGCAACCUAGACUCUGUGUCUCUGCUGAUAGAUCAUGUUUGUAGUAGGAGACAGUUCCCCUGUUACACUCAGCAGAUACUUACGGAGCAUUGUAAUGAAGUGUGGUUCUGUAAAUUCUCUAAUGAUGGCACUAAGCUAGCAACAGGAUCAAAGGACACCACAGUUAUCAUAUGGCAAGUUGAUCCGGAUACACACCUGCUCAAGCUGCUUAAAACAUUAGAAGGACAUGCGUAUGGUGUUUCUUACAUUGCAUGGAGUCCAGAUGACAACUAUCUUGUUGCUUGUGGCCCAGAUGACUGCUCUGAGCUUUGGCUUUGGAAUGUACAAACGGGAGAACUAAGAACAAAAAUGAGCCAAUCUCAUGAAGACAGUUUGACCAGUGUAGCCUGGAAUCCAGAUGGGAAACGCUUCGUGACUGGAGGUCAGCGUGGGCAGUUCUAUCAGUGUGACCUGGAUGGAAAUCUUUUGGACUCCUGGGAGGGGGUGCGAGUGCAAUGCCUAUGGUGCUUGAGUGAUGGGAAGACUGUGCUGGCUUCUGAUACACACCAGAGGAUCCGGGGCUACAACUUUGAGGACCUUACAGAUAGGAACAUAGUACAAGAAGAUCAUCCUAUUAUGUCAUUUACUAUUUCAAAAAAUGGCCGAUUAGCUUUGUUAAAUGUAGCAACUCAGGGAGUUCAUUUAUGGGACUUGCAAGACAGAGUUUUAGUAAGGAAAUAUCAAGGUGUCACACAAGGGUUUUAUACAAUUCAUUCAUGUUUUGGAGGCCAUAAUGAAGACUUCAUCGCUAGUGGCAGUGAAGAUCACAAGGUUUACAUCUGGCACAAACGAAGUGAACUGCCAAUUGCGGAGCUGACAGGGCACACGCGCACAGUAAAUUGUGUUAGCUGGAACCCACAGAUUCCAUCUAUGAUGGCCAGUGCCUCCGAUGACGGCACUGUUAGAAUAUGGGGACCAGCACCUUUCAUAGACCACCAGAAUAUUGAAGGGAAGGAACCAAAAUAUGGCAGACCCCCGUUAACUUGUUGAAUGCUGCCAUUUCGGCAAGUCUAGGUCUGGAAAGUUUUCCCACCACCUUGAUACUUGAAGAUGAAGAAAGUCAUAAAGCUAACAGAUGAGGACAAAUUCUUGAUUAAAUAUAAUAGUACUAGAGAGAAGUAAUAAAUUUUAUAGGAAUGCAGUAGCAUGGAUAGUUGAUGGCGAAUUGGAGCAGACGACUUCUGUUUAACUUAAAAUUAGUCGUAUUUUAAUGGCUUGGGAUUUGGUGCAAACAAACAUGAUUGAUAGCUGGACAGACAUGCUCGUCAUGAAAAAAGAACCAUUUCUGAAGCCCGAUUGGGGCCAAACCUUUACACCUUGCUUCAUAGUAACCAGUUGAUGAAGCACGUCGUUAGAACGUUGUUGGACACCAUGUUGAAUAUUCCCCAUCGGUUGUGAAGAACUGUACUGCAUUCAGGCUUACCCAUUGAACUCAGUAUAUAUAUUUUUUCCCUCCUGCCUUUUGUCUGGUGGGAUACCAUUCUUGUUGCUCUUCUGUGUAAUGAAGUUCAAAUGCUUGUUUGGAAACUUUAUUUAACAGUUUAGAAGGCUUGAUAGGAAGAGUUCAUUAGUCUGAAGAGUAUACAUUGGACAGGAAAGAAUUUUCCUUUUGUUUCUCCAAAUCUUUCCGCCUUAUUUAGCUUGAGAUCUUUGCAGCUUGGUUCAUGGAUUCUAGCCUUGCCCGUUGCGCAGUAUAUACUGAUCAGAUGAUAAACCAGUGAACUAUGUCAAAAGCACUCUCAAUAUUACAUUUGACAAAAAGUUUUGUACUUUUCACAUAGCUUGUUGCCCCGUAAAAGGGUUAACAGCACAAUUUUUUAAAAAUAAAUUAAGAAGUAUUUAUAGGAUUAAAGUGACUUCAUUUGUAUACAUUUGGAAUCUAAACCAGCUUAAAAACAGUUUCCUCUGUGACUCAGAUAUGCAGUGUAACUGAUGCUCUUCUGGGGUACCACCUGAGACAUGGCAUGGUCAGAAACAGUGCUCAGAAGGACAUGGCACAGGAAAGCCAGAGAGACACUCUGAAGGUUCCCCCUUUUUAUUUUAUUCCCGAAGGGACAUCAGUACCUGAUGUUGAAGAAAUUCAAGAUUCAAAAGGAGAAUUUUAUAAAUACACCAACAUGAAAAAUCAGCUAUCAGUCUAGGUUUUCACGAAAGCUUGUUCCAAGUUCUUCUAGACUUGGUGCGAUCUAGUAAAGUAGAGAUCAGAAGAUAGACCCACUUGGGGAAUUUAUAGUGUCGUUGAGACUUAGAAUUCAGCAGGUUACAAACAUAUGUCAACUGGGAUUCAAACCUCAGUCAUUUCUCCUAAUUGCCCUUAAUGCCCAACAUAUAGGGACACUGGAAUUUAACAAAGAUUCCUUCUCAACUUCUCAGAUGUUGCCAUACUGAACCUCAUUCAAACUGGUGCUGUGGACAGUCUUUCCCUCUCCUCCACCUUUUAGUUUAAGGGAUGGUUUCCUUUAUGGAAAAAGGCUCUCAUUUUGAAGACUCUACAUCUAAUGUCUGAUGUUCAUGGUGUUUUUAAACCCCAUAGCUGCUGGGUCUAACAGUCUCUCUUGAAAUUGCCUGUUUUUCAGUAGAGGAUGAUCAGGGUGACCACAGCUAUUGGAAAGAGAAAUGGAAUUACUCCCAAAGUAAGAUCCUGGUGAAGAAAAAAAAAAUCUUGUAUCAAGUUGCCCUUGAGGCCAAGCCAAAUCCAUAGCAUUCUCACCAUGAUCAUACAUACCCCUUCACGGCCCUAAGAGAGGAGAGAUGCUUGGAGUGUAGGGCACAUAAGGAGGGAUAGAAGCAGGGAGGGAAAGUCGGGAAAAGGAAGAAGAAAACACAUUCGGCCUUAAAGUAGAGUUCAUUCUCCCAAAGUUCAUAGUGAGGAAAUGAGAGGUUGUAGUCAGCAAUGAUUUUAUCAAAUGAGUGUGUAAAAAGAUUACAUCAAGCUUCAUUUUGCAGAGACCACCACUUUAGAAAAUCAGAGAAAUCCUGUUUUGAUACUUCUAAGUUAAAAUAAUGUUACCGUUUAUCUGGUACUUCAUUUCUUUACUAAAUUACUUUUCACUUUAAGCUUGAAUAAAAAUUUUCAUUUGUAACUGUAUAUAAUUAAGUGGCAACUCCUCUUUACCUCAGUGCAGUUCAAACCGUAUUUUGAUUGAUAUACCCUGACGCCAUUAACACACACACCCAGUUUCUACAUAACAGUCACUAACAAAAUGAGGGCAUAGAACUCCAGGGCUGUUUACAGAUGUGGUUACAUUGUACCAUAUGGUACAUAUGUAAUGUUCCUGAGAUUUGUGCCCACUGGGCAGUUGACACUCAGAUUCUACCAGUAUACCAAGCCACACCUAGAUCUGAGUUUUCAUAGUGCCUGUGAAGUACAGUUAAAAACACUUAGAAGUAAAAACGUGGACUCAGAGUGAGGCACAUUUUAAAGUGGAGUUACAGCUAUGCAAAGGUGUUCAUAGCAGCUCGGUGAGUGGUUUCCAGGUCUGUUCUAAUUGGCAGCUUCCUCUAUAUACUGGUACUUCACUGUGCCAAUUUGCCGGAAGCAUCUGUUUCAUAGAUUUACCAUGACGUGAGUGUGUUAGAAAGGUGGGAAAGAGGGUGAAGAAACCUAGCUUUUAUGAUGGAAGAACCUGGUGGCAGGAUUUUUCUAACCCAUAGCUAGUAACUGAAAAUUUCUGACAAUGUGAUAAACAUAAAGGCUUAAGAGGGAAAAUUCUGUCAAGCCAGCCACAAGAUACUAACCAAUGUAUAAGCUGAAAAGUACCAAUACUUUUUGCACAUAGAUCAAAAUAGUGGAGAAUUUUGGCUCCAAAAAUCAGGUUAGUAGGCUCAAUUCCUUGUGCUUAAAAAUGUUGUUAUUAAUGCAUUGAUUAAGGGCUAGAGCAAGAAUGAAAUUAAAUGUCUUUUUCCUCUGAAUAACUGGUUAUUAGUGGUAAAGUGUUGGAUUGGGGGAUCACUGAGGUUGGUGUGUGGGGGUGAGAAAAGGAGUUAGAGUGGGAGUUCGUUGGGAGAUGGCAAAGCUUUGGAUUUGGUUUUGUAUUUUGUUAGUAUUCAUGCCAGCAGUAUUUGCUGCUCUCGCUGGCCAGAUAUUCUAGUAAUCCAGGUAAGUAGUUGAAAACAGGAAAUUUUAUUUGCAAAUAUCCCCAUAUAUUGGCCCAUUUUCUUGGGUGGAGAACAAGAAAGGAAUUCUCUGACUAUAAUGAAAACAACCUGCUAGACGAACCAAGAGCAAUCUCCUUAGUCUGAGAAGACAAGCAGGAAUUGAGCAAGAUUAGUGGUUAGGAGUGUUCUGCCUUGACUGGCAUUCUAUGGCAUUAAUAGAAAAUUCUUCUUCCCACCCCUCCCCGCCUUGAAAUCUUUUUUAGGACGUUGGUUCCUGCAAACAAGAACUGACCCUCUGCCUCCCAGUGGGUAAAUGUGUCGCACAUCUCUUGAAAGGGAACAUAUCCAUGUCAUUUACUUUACAGCAGAAGAAUGGGGAGGAAAGAAGAUAAUUUGUCUUAAUAUCCUUUGUGUCCCAUUUUUUUAAAAUAUAUUUUUACCUAGUAAUUUUACUUUAAUGUCUCAGACUUCAGCAACUCUCCCUUUGUUUGCUGGCCAAAGCAUUACCUCCAUUUCCAAACCCAUACCUGGUUUCACUUCAACUGCUAACUUGAAAGAGGUGAAUUUGCAUUUACACUUAGACACUUUCUAAAAACAGGGUGGACUUAAUCUAAUGUUGCAGUGUUGAGCUAUUGUUACAGUAGCUGCCCUUGAACUGCAAAAACAAGCUGUAACCAUCCCUAUCUACUGGAUCCAGAUGUCCUGGAUUUAAUGAGGUUAGUCGUAUAAGAUUUUGUGUGCUUGAGAAAGGAAGAACUUGAUUCAUAAAAUAUCCUAGAAACAACUUCUAGGUUGUCAUUUUUACUGAAAGUCUUGUGCACAUGUAAAGUGCCCUCUCUUGAGUUUAAGACUUGGCUAAUACUUGUCUAUUUUUAUAAGAAUGAAAUUAAUUGUGUCCCAUCUUUGACUUAGACAUUUACAUUAUCAGGAUCAAUAUGGUAGAAUUAAAUCAUAACAUUUUUAGGCUCGGGGGGGGGAUGUUAUUGGCCUCUUGAUAGUAAGAGAGUGAGUGAAAGUGUGUGUGUGUGUGUGUGUGUGUGUGUGUGUGUGUGUGUUUUGAGGGGAGUAGAUCACAAAAGCAUGUAUGUGCUUACAAACCAAGCUGUAGAGAUCACAAAGAAUUUGAGUGUUGCUCUGGAGAUUUCUGAGCUAUGGAGAGUGAUACGGCCUUGUGCGAUGUAGCUCACACAGCUGUUGGUGUGGAGUAAUAGUUAACUAUGAACUGAUAGAUGUUUCCAGAGGAUUGUGUUCUUAAACUUUGGGGUUUGCUUUUUUAACUGCCUCUCAGAUUAUAUUUAGUAGUUUAUAAAUUUCUUUGUUUUAUUAUUUCAUUAAAGUAUAAAAACUUCAGGUCUCAUAUUUAUUUUCACUUGUUCUACUAAUUAUUUACAAGACACCUUUUGGUUGACAUUUAUUUUAUAAAUGUGUGGUAUAUUAAAUGUCUUUAAAUUUUUUUGUUUGGUUGAAAUUACAGUAACUUUGAUUUGCUUUACUUGGAUUUUUAAAUUUUAUUUUAAUUACACCUUUUCCAUGUCAGUGCACAGCACUUGCCCAGUCCUUUGUAUUCCCUUCUCUCAAUUCAAUAAACAGAAUGAGUAAUUAA
Peromyscus californicus insignis is the source of this 7203-nucleotide RNA transcript. It is a transcript of the gene named WD repeat domain 26, with no coding region annotated. Lineage: Eukaryota; Metazoa; Chordata; Mammalia; Rodentia; Cricetidae. The record is from RefSeq and is a predicted model, not a curated record. The transcript is spliced from 15 exons.